RNAcentral lists this ribosomal RNA (379 nucleotides) under uncultured bacterium. RNAcentral describes it as "bacterial SSU rRNA". It matches the Rfam family "Bacterial small subunit ribosomal RNA", at positions 28 to 420 of the family's 1533-position model. The record is from RNAcentral.
GGUUAACGCUAGCGGCAGGCUUAACACAUGCAAGUCGAGCGGAGACUUCGGUCUUAGCGGCGAACGGGUGAGUAAUACCUAGGAAUCUGCCUAUUAGUGGGGGAUAACGAAUCGAAAGGUUCGCUAAUACCGCAUACGUCCUACGGGAGAAAGGGGGGGAGUCUUCGGACCUCUCGCUAAUAGAUGAGCCUAGGCCGGAUUAGCUAGUUGGUAGGGUAAAGGCCUACCAAGGCGACGAUCUGUAGCUGGUCUGAGAGGAUGGCCAGCCACACUGGAACUGAGACACGGUCCAGACUCCUACGGGAGGCAGCAGUGGGGAAUAUUGGACAAUGGGGGCAACCCUGAUCCAGCCAUGCCGCGUGUGUGAAGAAGGCCUCGG